GUUUCCAUAGUGUAGUGGUUAUCACGUUUACCUAACACGCAAAAAGUCCCUGGUUCGAGACCGGAUGGAAACA
Nerophis ophidion (straightnose pipefish) is the source of this 73-nucleotide non-coding RNA. The record is from the annotation of a RefSeq genome assembly. NCBI's taxonomy places the organism in Eukaryota, Metazoa, Chordata, Actinopteri, Syngnathiformes, Syngnathidae.